UACGGGGGGGGCAAGCGUUGUUCGGAAUUACUGGGCGUAAAGGGUUUGUAGGUGGCCGGCUAAGUCAGACGUGAAAUCCCUCGGCUUAACCGGGGAACUGCGUCUGAUACUGGAUGGCUUGAGUUUGGGAGAGGGACGCGGAAUUCCAGGUGUAGCGGUGAAAUGCGUAGAUAUCUGGAGGAACACCGGUGGCGAAGGCGGCGUCCUGGACCAACACUGACACUGAGGAGCGAAAGCCAGGGGAGCAAACGGG
This 253-nucleotide ribosomal RNA is filed under the name uncultured bacterium. RNAcentral's name for it is "partial 16S ribosomal RNA". It matches the Rfam family "Bacterial small subunit ribosomal RNA", at positions 524 to 776 of the family's 1533-position model. The record is from RNAcentral.